AUGAAUAAAGUCAUUUUCUUCUGCAUUUUUUCUUCCUGGAUUAUGCAAAUACUUUCCAGAGAUGUUUCAGAACAUGAAGUGACUCUCUUGAGAGUCCAGCGGAAGGAAAACAUCAGCCUGAACUGCAACAUGACUGACAGAUAUGAAAUGGCCUGGUUUCACCAGUAUUCUCAACAACUAAAUCAACUAAUAUCUGCAAAGGUGAGCAGUGUGUCAGGAAGACUUCUAGUUAUGUACAAUCAAAACUGGAGUCAUCUAACCGUUGGAGAACACCAUGCAGAUGUGGGGAUCACCACAGUCAAGCUAGUUAUUUCUGGAGUAACAGAAACCGACUCAGGCCUUUAUUUCUGUGGAACAAAAUCAGUGACUUCAAAGACUUCAAAGAUGCACUUCGACAAACCCACCAGACUACAGAUCGAGGGUUAGUACCACUGACCUCAGUUUCUCUCAAUUCUUCAUAAUGUUUUCAAUGCUGCUUUUUUGAGUAAAUUAUUUUACAAAUGUAUUUAAUUAAUCACUAGUAAAGCUAGUGUCUCCAUCGAUCAAACCAUUUUCACUCCAAGUAAAGUAAAGGGCAACGUUUGAAUGAUUCCUGGAAUUAAAUGUGUUAUUGAGGAAAGGUUUACUGCUAUAAUAAUACUGAAACUGAACAUUGUUUUUGUUUAUUUUUGUUUUAUUGAGCUUUUGUGUUUGAUUACAUGAUCUUACGUGACCCUAGAGCACAAAACCAGUCAUAAGUCAAUUUCUUGAAAUUGAGAUUAAUAGAUCAUCUGAAUAAAUGAUCUCUCCAUUGAUGUGUUGUUUGUUCGGAGGACAAUAUUUGUCUGAGAUACAACUAUUAGAAAAUCUGAGGGAGCAAAAAAAUCUAAAGUUGAUUUAAAGUUGUCCAAAUUAAUUCUUUGCAAUGCAUAUUACUAAUCAAAAAUGAAGUUUUGAUAUAUUUACGGGAAACUUGCACAAUAUAUUCAUGGAUCACAAUCUUUACUUAAUAUCCUAAUGAUUUUUAAGAAAAAUAGAUCAUUUUGACCCAUACAUCGUAUUUUUGGCUAUUGCUACAAAUAUACCCCAGAGACUUCAGACUGCUUUUGUGCUCCAGGGUCACAAAUAUUUAAAAUAUUUUCAGACAAGCUGACAGACAGAGAAGACCGAGUCCAUUCUGUCACAGAAACACCAGAGAUUGUUGAUGUCACAGGUAAGAGAAAUCAUUCUUGUGUCUCAUUUUCUCACAACUUGAAAUCAGUACAGAUUUAUCAAGGAUGUAAAUGUAAAAUUUACUGGCUAACUAUCUGGGUUUCUUAAUUCUGCAAAAUUCUGCUUUCUCUUUGUAGAGGAAGUGACUACGAAAGAGAGGGCGUUGAUGUUUGGUGGUGUUGGUCUGGCGAUUGCAGUGUUUUUUCUGGCUACAGUCAUUGCAGGAGGAAUAAUUCACUAUCGCGGCUGGCAGAAAGGAUGGAGCGCCGCCAAACGCUCAUCUCUGAUUCAUCACAAUUCAGCUAAAUAACUUCUGUUUCUGCUUUAUUUCAAAGUCUAACUCAGUAUACCCAUGAGCUUUGCUUUGCUGUAGGUUACCACAAAUGUUGUAAAUGUCCCCUUUUUUAGCCCCAGUGAAAAUACUUGUUAAUAGUUGUGGUUAUUUCUCAAGGUUUUGUGGUUCACUUGUGAUUAUCAGUAAUAUAAAAACGCUGCUGCACUGUAAAAAAUCGAAUGAGCUGUUUACUUAAAAAAAAUGAAGGUAACAAUAUUACACAAAAUAUUUUUUGAGUAGUUCUUCAGGCUUGAUUUUAUAAUGGCAUCUAUCAUGUGAAAUCUCCUAAAUGAAUUAAUCUAUGACUCAAUUGAUUUAAUAUGAUUAGGGAAAUGUGCUCAUUUAUUUUAAGCUUAUUCUCAAAGAUCUGUGAAUGAGGUCUGUUUGUAUUCUAUUAUUUUAUACAUUUACAAGACUAUAUACAGCCAAUCAGCUCAAGUAGAAAAAUGCUUGAGAAAUACAGGAAAGUACUGCACUAGCAAAGCUACUGUUCAUUAAACAAGGCAUGAAACCACAAGCUCUGUGGAAACUUCGAUGUUACAGAAACUUACAAAUGUCAAACAUAACUGAACAUUAAACAUUAACAGAUGCUUCCCUUCACUCAAAAACAUAAAGUAGCAUUUCAUUUCAAAACUUACUCUCCAUAUCCAGCCACAUGCAAAGCAUGCGGGGAACUAACAAUCACCUCUAAAAUAAAACUGCAAAAUUGAGCUAAUUCUCUUAAAAUAAAUAGGCAGCCUUGUUUCAUUAAUUAUUUUAGUUUAACCAGUUCCCCAAUUCAAGCACCAAAACUGCCUCCUUAAAAAAAAUGGUUUUAUUAGUAAAAGGUCCUCAUUAUUUUCUAUACAACACUGAAUCACUAUUUCUUUAAUGAAAUCCAUACAUUAUUUUUAAUUAUCACCUUAUUUUUUUUUAAUGAAAAUUACAAGACCAAUGAUUCAUUUUUUACAGUGUUCUGAUGUCUGUCUUUAAUGCAGUUUUUAUUUACAAUGUAUAAAGUCAAAGUAUGUUUUACGCACCUGUUUAUGUAGAGAAAGAGCACAAAAAGUAUAUCAUUUUAUAUAUGUCUAGCUGGAUCUUCACAUUAUAAAUUAUUAUCCAGAGGAGCAUUAAUGUACAUAUAAGAGGGGUUCAAGAGGAAAUGCUAUUAAAUAAAAUUGUCUUCAAUGUUAAACGUGUUAUUGAGAGCAAAACUAAGAGAUCACAUUUGUUUGUGCAUUUUUCAGUCUGGUCUCAUGUUCAUAUGUAGGUUUUAAUAUGUAAUAUUUACAAGCACAAAGCAUACAUUUUUAAACUCCCAUUAAAAGAAAUGAAGCAGUUACACUAUGAAAUAUAAGUCAAACUGCACAUUUCACCCAAAAUUGUUUUGUGUGAUACAAUUCCAAAUUUAGGAGGCCAGAGCGAGGGCUAAAGCUUGUUGACACGGGACAAAUGUGUGUGUACAGAGUAAUCAAACAAUUCUCACAUCAAUGUAGAAAACAUUUGAUUGCACUGAGUUAUCGAUGUAGAAUACUUUAAAACUUACAUUAAUAAAAAAGUAUUAUCAUAAUCAGUGCAUAAUGAUAAACAUAGGGUGAUAUCAGGUAAAAUGGGCGAUUAAAGGUUUGGGGGUCCUAGUCCCUCUGGAAUUUAGAACCAAUGACUACAAAAUACUUCAAACUAUUGUCAUAACUGUGCUUGACAAGUAACAGGUGAUUCAAUUGGUUUAUGGUUGCUAUGGUGGGUGGGGUAAUAAUUCUUUUCAAGACUGCACCAGAGAGCUGCAUGGUAAGUAGCCUGGCAUACCAAAUGUAACUAAACCAUUAUAAGGAUGAUAAAUCUAUAAAAAAAAUAAAAAAAACAUGCACAUAAAAAAUAUGCAUAAUAUCUGUAUUGAUGGCAUCAAUCAGAAAUAAUGUUGUUAGUUUGGUAUAGGAACAUAUUUUUUGAAAAAGUGAUGUUUUUCUUGGCGGCCCAAUUUACCUUAAGCCACUGAGGUAAAAUGGGCCACAUGGUUUCAGCUAAAAUGGGCCAUCAUCUGUGUCACUCACAAACACACAUACACAUGAGUGUUUGAGUGUGUGAGUGUGUGUGUGUGUGUGUGACACGCCCUCACUCACACACACACACACACUCACCAUGACACUUCACCAUCUGUGGGAAGAGGAGAGGAUAAAGGAGGCCUUAGAUGAAUGCAGGAAGGGAGUGAAGAAAGGAAUUACAUUGAGUGUGCACCUCUUAUCACAAGCAUGGGGUGUGCCACGAUCCACACUGCAAAGACUCGUCAGUGG
This 3795-nucleotide long non-coding RNA is filed under the name Carassius auratus (goldfish). RNAcentral's name for it is "lncRNA (ENSCARG00000032475.1)". Lineage: Eukaryota; Metazoa; Chordata; Actinopteri; Cypriniformes; Cyprinidae. The record is from RNAcentral.